UGGGGAAUAUUGCACAAUGGGGGAAACCCUGAUGCAGCGACGCCGCGUGAGCGAAGAAGGUUUUCGAAUCGUAAAGCUCUGUCCUAUGGGAAGAUAAUGACGGUACCAUAGGAGGAAGCCCCGGCUAACUACGUGCCAGCAGCCGCGGUAAUACGUAGGGGGCAAGCGUUGUCCGGAAUCACUGGGCGUAAAGGGUUCGCAGGCGGAAAUGCAAGUCAGUUGUGAAAGGCAGAGGCUCAACCUCUGUAAGCAAUUGAAACUGUAUUUCUUGAGAUGUGGAGAGGCAAGUGGAAUUCCUAGUGUAGCGGUGAAAUGCGGAGAUAUUAGGAAGAAUACCGGGGGCGAAGGCGACUUGCUGGGCACAAACUGACGCUGAGGAACGAAAGCGUGGGUAGCAAACAGG
RNAcentral lists this ribosomal RNA (403 nucleotides) under Fusobacteriota bacterium. RNAcentral's name for it is "Fusobacteria bacterium partial 16S ribosomal RNA". It matches the Rfam family "Bacterial small subunit ribosomal RNA", at positions 355 to 776 of the family's 1533-position model. The record is from RNAcentral. Lineage: Bacteria; Fusobacteriati; Fusobacteriota.